Molecule: long non-coding RNA, 436 nt
Filed under: Mytilus galloprovincialis (Mediterranean mussel)
Lineage: Eukaryota; Metazoa; Mollusca; Bivalvia; Mytilida; Mytilidae
Source: RNAcentral
UUUUAGAUAAAAACGUUUUUCAUUUAAAAAAAUUAAUAAUGAUUUUUUAAUCAACAUAAACUUAUAUAAUUGGGCUCAAAUUGAAGCUAAAUAAUUUAAGAUGGUAAGAAAAAUCUAACUUCACCAUUUAAAGCAUUGAUUCUCACUCAAAUAAAGCCAAAAACGUCAUGGUGAACCCAAACAACGGCAAGAAAUGAACAUUUGAAAUGCACAUUUUUGAUUUUUUUAAAUAUUUCUAACGGUGUCGAUUUGGCCAAAGUAAGAUAUGUUAUUCUUUGAAAAAAUGGAACGUCAUAACGUUUUGAAAAAUAUUUGUCACCAUACUCGUUUUUGAGGAAAAUUGAGAAAUAUAAUAUUGUUUACUCAAUCCCUCCCGUAAGCCUCACAAAUUGCGCCAAAAAUUAAGACGUUUUCCGAAAAUAACGUUAUAUUUCCC